Molecule: long non-coding RNA, 277 nt
Organism: Dermacentor albipictus
Lineage: Eukaryota; Metazoa; Arthropoda; Arachnida; Ixodida; Ixodidae
Source: RefSeq, a predicted model, not a curated record
GGCCCUGUUCUGAUUAUUACACUGCCUUGCAACAAACAAACUCCUCGACCCGUAUCAGUGUGGCUUUCAAGAAGGCCGAUCCACAUCGGAUCAUCUCGCUGCCACAAAGAAACAGAAGCGGGCCACGAUGCUCUCCUGCAUGUGGACGGCGGCACCUACAGUGGCCCACUGUCCAGCCUUGGCGACCCACCUGCUUGCGCCUUUCGUCGCCGUUGAGUGGUCGGUACGUAAAGCCAGGUUCCUCGAUGUCGGCCAUGUGCUGCCUGACCAAAGUGGC